RNAcentral lists this ribosomal RNA (253 nucleotides) under uncultured bacterium. RNAcentral's name for it is "partial 16S ribosomal RNA". It matches the Rfam family "Bacterial small subunit ribosomal RNA", at positions 524 to 776 of the family's 1533-position model. The record is from RNAcentral.
UACGGGGGGAGCAAGCGUUGUUCGGAUUUACUGGGCGUAAAGGGCGCGUAGGCGGCGCCGCAAGUCGACUGUGAAAUCUCCGGGCUUAACCCGGAAAGGUCAGCCGAUACUGCGGGGCUAGAGUGCAGAAGGGGCAACUGGAAUUCUCGGUGUAGCGGUGAAAUGCGUAGAUAUCGAGAGGAACACCUGCGGCGAAGGCGGGUUGCUGGGCUGACACUGACGCUGAUGCGCGAAAGCCAGGGGAGCGAACGGG